CUGAAACAUCUAAGUACCUGGAGGAAGAGAAAGAAAAAUCGAUUUCCUGAGUAGCGGCGAGCGAAACGGAAAGAGCCCAAACCAAGAAGCUUGCUUCUUGGGGUUGUAGGACACUCUAUACGGAGUUACAAAAGAAAGUUAUAAAUGAAGCGGUCUGGAAAGGCCCGCCAAAGACGGUAACAGCCCGGUAGUUGAAAUGGCUUUCCCUCCAGAGUGGAUCCUGAGUACGGCGGAACACGUGAAAUUCCGUCGGAAUCCGGGAGGACCAUCUCCCAAGGCUAAAUACUCCCUAGUGACCGAUAGUGAACCAGUACCGUGAGGGAAAGGUGAAAAGCACCCCGGAAGGGGAGUGAAACAGUUCCUGAAACCGUGUGCCUACAAGUAGUUAGAGCCCGUUAAUGGGUGAUAGCGUGCCUUUUGUAGAAUGAACCGGCGAGUUACGAUUUGUUGCAAGGUUAAGCGGAAAAAGCGGAGCCGUAGCGAAAGCGAGUCUGAAUAGGGCGCAUAAGUAACAGGUCGUAGACCCGAAACCAGGUGAUCUACCCAUGUCCAGGAUGAAGGUAAGGUAAUACUUACUGGAGGUCCGAACCCACGCACGUUGAAAAGUGCGGGGAUGAGGUGUGGGUAGCGGAGAAAUUCCAAUCGAACUUGGAGAUAGCUGGUUCUCUCCGAAAUAGCUUUAGGGCUAGCCUCGAGGUAAAGAGUCAUGGAGGUAGAGCACUGUUUGGACUAGGGGCCCUUCUCGGGUUACCGAAUUCAGAUAAACUCCGAAUGCCAUGUACUUAUACUCGGGAGUCAGACUGCGAGUGAUAAGAUCCGUAGUCGAAAGGGAAACAGCCCAGACCACCAGUUAAGGUCCCCAAAUAUAUGUUAAGUGGAAAAGGAUGUGGGGUUGCUUAGACAACCAGGAUGUUGGCUUAGAAGCAGCCACCAUUGAAAGAGUGCGUAAUAGCUCACUGGUCGAGUGACCCCGCGCCGAAAAUGUACCGGGGCUAAACAUAUUACCGAAACUGUGGAUGAACCUCUUUAGAGGUUCGUGGUAGGAGAGCGUUCUAAGGGCGGUGAAGUCAGACCGGAAGGACUGGUGGAGCGCUUAGAAGUGAGAAUGCCGGUAUGAGUAGCGAAAGAAGGGUGAGAAUCCCUUCCACCGAAUAUCUAAGGUUUCCUGAGGAAGGCUCGUCCGCUCAGGGUUAGUCGGGACCUAAGCCGAGGCCGAUAGGCGUAGGCGAUGGACAACAGGUAGAGAUUCCUGUACCAGUGCUAAUUGUUUAACCGA
Molecule: ribosomal RNA, 1276 nt
Filed under: Listeria monocytogenes
Lineage: Bacteria; Bacillati; Bacillota; Bacilli; Caryophanales; Listeriaceae
Description: partial 23S ribosomal RNA
Rfam family: Bacterial large subunit ribosomal RNA
Source: RNAcentral